GGGGGGGCCCGUAACAGGACAGGUCGCCGUAGAGAGUGCUCCUGGGCCUGGUGUUGCGAGUACAUUUGAGUGAGUGGCGAACUGGUGAGUAACACGUGGGAAACCUGCCCAGAAGCGGGGGAUAACACCUGGAAACAGAUGCUAAUACCGCAUAACAACUUGGACCGCAUGGUCCGAGCUUGAAAGAUGGCUUCGGCUAUCACUUUUGGAUGGUCCCGCGGCGUAUUAGCUAGAUGGUGGGGUAACGGCUCACCAUGGCAAUGAUACGUAGCCGACCUGAGAGGGUAAUCGGCCACAUUGGGACUGAGACACGGCCCAAACUCCUACGGGAGGCAGCAGUAGGGAAUCUUCCACAAUGGACGAAAGUCUGAUGGAGCAACGCCGCGUGAGUGAAGAAGGGUUUCGGCUCGUAAAACUCUGUUGUUAAAGAAGAACAUAUCUGAGAGUAACUGUUCAGGUAUUGACGGUAUUUAACCAGAAAGCCACGGCUAACUACGUGCCAGCAGCCGCGGUAAUACGUAGGUGGCAAGCGUUGUCCGGAUAUUUAUUUGGGGCGGUAAAAGCAGAGCGCACUGGAGGUUUUUUUUUAAGUCUGGAUGGUGAACAGCCUUCGCGCGUUCAACCGGGAAGAAAGUUGCACUCCGAAAACCUGGGAAACUCUGGAGUGGCAGAAGAAGGGACAGGUGGAACCUUCCAUUGUGGUAGGCGGUGAAAAUGCCGUAGAUAUUAUAGGAAGGAACACCCAGUGGCGGAAGGUCCGGCUGUUCUGGUCUUGUAACAGACGCUGAAGGCUCGAAAAGUAUGGGUAGCAAACAAGGACUAAGAAACCCUGCGAAGUUCCAUACCGUAAACCGAUGAAUGCCUAAGUGGUUGGAAGGGAUUUCCGCCCUUCCAGGGCUGCAGCUAACGCAUUUAAGGCAUUACCGCCUGGGGUAGGUACGGCCCGCAAGGGAUAGAAACUCAAAGGGAAUUGGACGGGGGGCCCGACACAAGCGGGUAGAGCAUGUGGAUUUUAAUUUCGUAAGCUUACGCGAAGCAACCUUACCAGGUCUUGACAUACUAUGCAAAUCUAAGAGAUUAGACGUUCCCUUCGGGGACAUGGAUACAGGUGGUGCAUGGUUGUCGUCAGCUCGUGUCGUGAGAUGUUGGGUUAAGUCCCGCAACGAGCGCAACCCUUAUUAUCAGUUGCCAGCAUUAAGUUGGGCACUCUGGUGAGACUGCCGGUGACAAACCGGAGGAAGGUGGGGAUGACGUCAAAUCAUCAUGCCCCUUAUGACCUGGGCUACACACGUGCUACAAUGGAUGGUACAACGAGUUGCGAACUCGCGAGAGUAAGCUAAUCUCUUAAAGCCAUUCUCAGUUCGGAUUGUAGGCUGCAACUCGCCUACAUGAAGUCGGAAUCGCUAGUAAUCGCGGAUCAGCAUGCCGCGGUGAAUACGUUCCCGGGCCUUGUACUCUCCGUAUAUAGUUUCCCGAGAGUCUGAACAACCAGUAACAGGUUAGCUCGUAUGUCGUGACCCUAGUAGCUAGAUA
Molecule: ribosomal RNA, 1533 nt
Filed under: Lactiplantibacillus plantarum
Lineage: Bacteria; Bacillati; Bacillota; Bacilli; Lactobacillales; Lactobacillaceae
Description: bacterial SSU rRNA
Rfam family: Bacterial small subunit ribosomal RNA
Source: RNAcentral